This 279-nucleotide ribosomal RNA is filed under the name uncultured bacterium. RNAcentral describes it as "partial 16S ribosomal RNA". It matches the Rfam family "Bacterial small subunit ribosomal RNA", at positions 506 to 784 of the family's 1533-position model. The record is from RNAcentral.
UGCCAGCAGCCGCGGUAAUACGGAGGGUGCAAGCGUUGUUCGGUAUUACUGGGCUUAAAGCGUGUGUAGGCGGAAGUGUAAGCGUCUUGUGAAAUCCCUCGGCUCAACCGAGGAAUUGCUUGGCGAACUACAUUUCUUGAGGCAAGUAGGGGUACACGGAACUCUUGGUGGAGCGGUGGAAUGCGUAGAUAUCAAGAGGAACGCCGGUGGAGAAGUCGGUGUACUGGGCUUGUCCUGACGCUGAGACACGAAAGCGUGGGGAGCAAACAGGAUUAGAUA